RNAcentral lists this long non-coding RNA (2280 nucleotides) under Eutrema salsugineum. RNAcentral's name for it is "long non-coding RNA (ESAL_LNC000100)". The record is from RNAcentral. Lineage: Eukaryota; Viridiplantae; Streptophyta; Magnoliopsida; Brassicales; Brassicaceae.
UAUAAAUAGUAGCCUCUGGUCAAAAAAUAAGACUUUCCAUAGAUAACAUUGCUUUUAUGCAAGAUAUCGAUUCUAUUCCUCUUUCUUCGAUGAACCCAUACCAAUUCGUUUGACAAACCCACACCAAUUCAAAAAAGAAUCCAAAGAAAGAAAAGCCUUUGAGAGGCAAAACUCUCCCAAAGUUCGCCCUAGCCGCCACAAAUCUCUUUUUCUCCGCUUUCUCUCUCCGGCGGUUGUUUCUUGCCGGAGAGGGUCCUUCUUCUCAUUUUUCUCUUUCGUGCUUCAAUUCUGGCUCUGGGCUGAUGUAAUUCUUAGGUGGAUGUCCCAUUUCUUCUCUCUUGCGAUGCGGUGCCAUGGACAAGCGGCGGAGCUGAGGCGGAUCAAUGGUUGGGACACGUAACUGAAGCUUCUCGAUGUGUUCACGAUCCAGUGAGGUGCCUGCUAUAGAACGGCGGAGCUAAGCUCGGAAGAGUUCACGGAGGGAAGAUCUUAGAUCUAGAUCUGCGACAGGAUUAUGUUUCGUGGGUUUCAAUAGCUUGUGUCGAGGUGUGUUGGCGGGGAUAAGCGGCAGAGCUGAAGCAGAUCGAUGGUUCGGAGACGCAAACAAAGCUUCUCGACGUGUUCAUGAUCUAGUGAGGUGCCUGCUAUAGGACUGUGAAGCUUUGCUUGGAGGAGAUCAUGUUGUGAAGAUUUCUUAGCAGGAGAGAUCAGCUUUGUGGCUUCGGAGGUUGCAUCGCGUGUGGAGGGGAUGGUUUUGCGGCGGAUUUCUUGAACGGUGAUCAGGCCGGCCCAAAGUGAUUUGACGCCUAAAGCGUAGGAUAAAAAUGAUGCCCUUAAUCAAAUUUUUUUUUGCAGCAUAUUUUUGAAUAUUUAAUUAAAAUAAUAUAAAAUAUCAUUGAAACAUAAUUUGUUAUGUGUUUAAGCUUAAGAUCGAUUUUUUUAAAACUCAGAAUCGAUUUUUUGAAGUCCAGAAUCGAUUUUUUGAAGCCCAAAUCGAUUUUUUGAAGUCAAAAUCAAUUUUUUGAAGCCUAAAAUUGAUUUUUUGAAGCCCAAAAUCGAUUUUAUAAACAAAAAUCGAAUUUUUUUUUAAUAUUUGAUAGAGAUAAUGAUUCUUAUUUCUAAGUAAUUUUUUUUUCCCAUUUUUUGGUCUUGAUCGAUGUGGGAUAAAUGUUUUUAAACACACUUGUAAAAAAAUUUUCAGACUUUUUUUGCUACCCCCAAAAUUAGAGUUUUCUGGGCUGCUCUAAAGCCUUUGCUUCAAGGACCUUAGUUGUGGGCCGGCCCUGACGGUGAUGAUCCAGUGAGACGUGGUGGCUGCUAGAGGACGGCGGAGCUAAUCUCGGAGUUUUCCCUGUGAUGGUUUUUGCCGGGUGAUUCCCUUCACUGGAGAGAGACUGGUUGACGCUGGAGAGUCGGUUUGCAAGGGUAGGAAGAAGGUUGAUGUCGGUGGCUGAAGCUUGAGGACGACUUCUCACGGCGUUGUCUUCUCCAUUGCCCAAGGGUUCUUGGUUAUCCAGUUUUUUUCCAUUUUUCAAUUUUCGUAAACCAGUGCCGGUUAUGCCCGGUUUGGGUUGGGUAAGUUUUGCUUUUUUUUUUUUUUUUAAAAGUAACCUUUUUUCUUUAUUAAUGAAAACGCUUUAACAAAAAAAACAAAAAAAGCCAAACCCACACCAAUUCCACAUUAGAUAAAGUAAAAAGGAAACUGUUUUGCAUCACGAACCAACUUAUUCAGACUAUAAUCCAGUAAUCUGAAUCUCCAUAAUCGAGAUUUCCAAAAAAAUAAACCAAAAAAUCAAAGCUUCUAAUCAAAUCGACCAAUUAACUACAAAAAAAAAUAAAAAAAUCUGAUCGACCAAAAAAUUUAAUCAAAAGAAAUUUGGAGUGAAACUCAUUGGAUUGAAUUGGAUAGAAAGAAAUCUGACUGAAAUCAAUUGAAUCCAAUUAAUGAUGAAGGCAUGAAGCUUGAACCCAUGAAUGGAAUCUCGAACAAGUGGGAGAGAAAACGUGGAGGAAGAUCAUCAAAACAGCAUAACAGAGGAAAAUAAAUGUGAGGAAGAUGAGAAUUUUCAGGCGGGAUUAAGGUUGGCAGUUAGGCAACUCUGGUCAUGCACAUUUUGUGACUUGUAGGUUUGUUUAUAAAAAAUAAAUUAGUUGAAGGUUUGGACUAUAAACUCUUUAACUUGGAAACAACUUUGAUAUUUGAAUGUUUUUUUAAUGGUUAUUUUUUGUUGUUGUUUACAUUACUUUUGUAGUUUUAUAGAAACACAUUAUCCUUUUCGU